CUGGUUUCAAAGGCAGCCAAGUUGACUUACCCUUCAGAGGUAAAAUAAGUUCCACAUAUGUAAAUGGCCUGAUCUUUAUCCUAAAGAUCAAGAAGUUUGCUGAAUAAGAAUCGAGCUUAGUGUGCAAGAGAGUUGUGUGCAGAAACUUUAAAAGACUGUCAAAUCCAGUCACUGCCCAAAAGAGUUUUUGGAGAAGCUAUCAUAAGCGAAGAACAGAGCUCAUGAAGUCGCUUUCUGAAGAAGCUUCAAGGAGAAUUGGGAAGGACUAAACAACAUCCUGUCUGUAUCACCUCAGACCUAUUAUUUCUCAUCCUCAGAGCUCAGGCUUCCUCUGACCCCCAACCAGGAUUCCAUUUUUCUCCACUAAAUCUUUUGGAGACCUUAAGUGUGUUCCCACCCUUCUGAUGGGCUGCAAGAUGCCUUCCUGUAGUUUUAUGGCACUCUCUUCUAUUCCAGUACCAGCCUCUAGGCCUGCUGCCUGACUUUAGUACCUUCCUCUGGGAUCCAAGCAUGGGGUCAGCUUCUUGUCUGGCACAUACAGUCUGAUGGGGCUGGAGGGAGGAGAGUCCUGUAGAUUAUACUCCUAAUGCAGGCUGGUGUGCUACCCCACACAGACUGCCUGGGACCUGAGGGCAUUGCCAUUAACCUUCACACAGCAACAGGUACUUACGUGACAGAAGGGCCAGAACUGGGAGCAGAAGGGUAGGGUUGCAGCAUCUCUUCUGAGUGGAUCCCGCUGUCACGGACAGCCUCAGGCCCUGCAGUGGGAGAAGCAUCUUGCCCGGCAUUUGCACACUGGGAAGCCAGCCCUUUGUACAGCUUCGCCAUGGAUGACCUAACAGGAAUGGAGGUGCUACCCGCCCUGUGGGAAAAUGAUGUGAAGAAGUCAGCUCAUCAGCUUCUCCGUGCUUCUGUGACACAGGACACGAGCAAUGUAUUGUCCUGGACGCAGGCCAAAAGAAAGUAGUCAGGAUAGCAGGUGAGCAAACUAGGGAAGAAAAUACAGGAAGAGGAGGAAGGAGGAUGCCAAAGACAGUGUCUUAUUUUGGAAUUUGUCCUCCUUGGUCCUGGAAGCUUAUUCUUCAACAUUGCAUCUUCACUGUUCCUGGAUCAGGCCAUCCUCUCUUCCCCGGACCUGUCCAUUGAAAUGAAGAGUAAGAGA
Molecule: non-coding RNA, 1162 nt
Organism: Vicugna pacos (alpaca)
Lineage: Eukaryota; Metazoa; Chordata; Mammalia; Artiodactyla; Camelidae
Source: RefSeq, a predicted model, not a curated record